CCUACGGGAGGCAGCAGUGAGGAAUAUUGGUCAAUGGACGAGAGUCUGAACCAGCCAAGUAGCGUGAAGGAUGACUGCCCUAUGGGUUGUAAACUUCUUUUAUAAAGGAAUAAAACGAGGCACGUGUGCCUUUUUUCAUGUACUUUAUGCAUAAGGAUCGGCUAACUCCGUGCCAGCAGCCGCGGUAAUACGGAGGAUCCGAGCGUUAUCCGGAUUUAUUGGGUUUAAAGGGAGCGUAGAUGGGUUGUUAAGUCCGUUGUGAAAGUUUGCGGCUCAACCGUAAAAUUGCAAUUGAUACUGGCAGUCUUGAGUACAGUUGAGGUAGGCGGAAUUCGUGGUGUAGCGGUGAAAUGCUUAGAUAUCACGAAGAACCCCGAUUGCGAAGGCAGCUUACUAAACUGUGACUGACAUUGAUGCUCGAAAGUGUGGGUAUCAAACAGGAUUAGAUACCCCAGUAGUC
Molecule: ribosomal RNA, 460 nt
Filed under: uncultured bacterium
Lineage: Bacteria
Description: partial 16S ribosomal RNA
Rfam family: Bacterial small subunit ribosomal RNA
Source: RNAcentral